Molecule: non-coding RNA, 305 nt
Organism: Camellia sinensis
Lineage: Eukaryota; Viridiplantae; Streptophyta; Magnoliopsida; Ericales; Theaceae
Source: RefSeq, a predicted model, not a curated record
AUUUUUCUCUACAUUCCUCGGUUUUCCUUGAAAAAAAAAUUAUGUUUGGUGUCACAGACCUUUUGGAUGUGGAGUAAUUCUUGGAGGUUACGACAGAGAAGGACCACAACUAUACAUGAUUGAACCUUCUGGUAUUUCAUAUAGGUACUUUGGUGCUGCAAUUGGGAAAGGAAAGCAGGCUGCUAAAACUGAAAUUGAAAAGUUGAAGCUUUCAGAUAUGACCUGCAGGGAAGGUGUUAUUGAAAUAGCCAAGAUGUGAGUGAUUUCUCUUUUUAAUGCAUACUUUUUUCUCUCCAAACAGCAAC